CAUAUGUGCUUGCUUUGGUAUACCAAAAUUGGAAUGAUUUAGAGAAUAUUAGCAUGGACCCUGCACAAGGGUGUCAUACAAAUUUGUGAAGCCUUCCAUAUUAAA
Molecule: small nuclear RNA, 105 nt
Organism: Nannospalax galili (Upper Galilee mountains blind mole rat)
Lineage: Eukaryota; Metazoa; Chordata; Mammalia; Rodentia; Spalacidae
Source: Ensembl